Molecule: ribosomal RNA, 253 nt
Filed under: uncultured bacterium
Lineage: Bacteria
Description: partial 16S ribosomal RNA
Rfam family: Bacterial small subunit ribosomal RNA
Source: RNAcentral
AACGUAGGUGGCGAGCGUUGUCCGGAUUUACUGGGCGUAAAGGGCGUGCAGGCGGUUUGUUAAGUGCAGGGUGAAAGCUCCCGGCUCAACUGGGAGAGGUCCUUGCAUACUGGCGAACUCGAGGGAGGCAGAGGAAAGUGGAAUUCCCGGUGUAGUGGUGAUAUGCGUAGAUAUCGGGAGGAACACCUGUGGCGAAGGCGGCUUUCUGGGCCUUACCUGACGCUGAGACGCGAAAGCGUGGGGAGCGAACCGG